CCAUCUAAGGCUAAAUACUUGUGCGAGUCCGAUAGUAAACAAGUACCGUGAGGGAAAGUUGAAAAGAACUU
This 71-nucleotide ribosomal RNA is filed under the name Variovorax sp. KBW07. Its description in RNAcentral is "partial 23S ribosomal RNA". It matches the Rfam family "Eukaryotic large subunit ribosomal RNA", at positions 306 to 376 of the family's 3401-position model. Lineage: Bacteria; Pseudomonadati; Pseudomonadota; Betaproteobacteria; Burkholderiales; Comamonadaceae. The record is from RNAcentral.